Long non-coding RNA from Bubalus bubalis (water buffalo), 3115 nucleotides. RefSeq lists it as uncharacterized. The record is from RefSeq and is a predicted model, not a curated record. The transcript is spliced from 4 exons. NCBI's taxonomy places the organism in Eukaryota, Metazoa, Chordata, Mammalia, Artiodactyla, Bovidae.
CAAUCAAGGUCAGGCAGAACUAAUUUUUAAAUUAUACUUCUAAUUUUAGAAUAAUUGUAUUUAAUUUCAACAGACCGUAUCUUUAUUAUGUGUAAGUUGAUGCAAUGACUUGGACUGAGACGUUUCAAAGAGUUGGUAAAUAAAAUAUCAAUUAUUGCAUCCAGAUGUUAAACGUAACCCUUCUCAUUGUCAGAGUUUCAGCACGGGCCCCAGAGGCCAAAUAGUAAACAGUAAGUGUCAAGUUCCCCACUUAUAAACUGAAAUACUAACUAGGCUAGACCAUCUACACCAGACACCAGACUUGUAAAGGGCAAAAUCCAAGCUAGUUCCACCAGCAUUAAAUGACCACCCUCUUCUAACCUCUUAAGGGAUGAAGAGACUUUGGCUCUGAGCUGUGUGUCCCUCCAAGGUGGAAGGAUUGAGCAUCCUUCUUUCUCACCCAAGCUUGUGGAGGGACUCCAAAAGGCCCUUGAGAGAGCAUGAGGCUGGGGAGACAUGCAGGUGGGUGUUGGAAAGGAGAGAAGCCAUGGCAGAAAUGCCCCUGUCUGUGGGCAGAGUGAGGGAAGAAUCACUUAGAAGUGAUCUGUACUUCCUCAAUGGCAGGGCAAAGGGAAAUGUUCCCAAGGACCACAUGUGGACCCCAUGCUGGGAUGUUGCCUGGAGUUAUCCAAGGACUUCAUCUCAGAGCACAUGCAGAGGUGGGACUACCUAGACAGGAGGUCAGAAAGUCAUCCAAGAGCACCAAGCUAGAGGUGGGCUCAGAAGGGCCCCACCUGUGCAGACCACCCCUACAGAGAGCCAUCGCCCAGUUACAGCCACCCUGGCCACGAGACAGGAGAGACAGGACUGCUGUCUCCCCUGUGCCACCCUCUCCUCAACCCAACCCGGAGGGGUCAGAAACUGCUGCUAGUUUGCCAGCCUGAAGUAGGCCCAAGUUCAGAAAGGGGGGAAAUUCAGAAUUUAAGAAAAUUUGGAGGGCUUCCUGGGGGGCUCAGUGGUAAAGAAUCCGCCUACCAGGGCAGGGGCUCAAUCCCUGAUCUGGGAAGAUCCCACAUGCCAAGGAGCAACAAAGGCAGAGCGCCGCAAGUCCUGAACCUGAACCCUAGAGCCCAGGAACUGCAGCUCCUGAACUGCAGCUCCUGAAGCCCGGGUGCCCUAGAGCAAGAGAAGCCCCUGCAAGGAGGAACCUGUACACUGCAACUAGAGGGUAAGCCCUGCUUGCUACAAAUAAAGAAAAGCCCCCUCAGCAACGACCCAGCACAGCCAAAUAAACAAAUAAAUUUGGAGUUUCGGUAUAACCCUUAAUGGGAUUAUAGGCCAUUCCAGUGACAGAUACAGAAACCAGAAAGGCUAUGGGGCAUAUAGUUUUAUCAACAGAAUGAGUCCACAGAUUAACAAUUCAAAUUACCUAGCUCCUGGUUUUUUUUUUCAAUAAACCGCCUAAAAUAUUUCUAAAUUCUUGGCAAUAAAAGGGUGGUGCCUUUUAACUUCAAGAGCAAGGAAGGAAAUGGCAUGGAUGUGACUGGAAAAUAAGGGGGAUGGGUGCUAAGGACUUUGAUUCUUUAUUUCUAAAAAUGAUGAAGAGCCAUGGAAAGCUUUUAGGUGUGGAUUACAAGACAGGAUUUUCCACAUUGCGGCUGCGGUGGGACAAGUGGACAGGGUGGGGUGGCUGGGAGCUGGCCUGGAGUAGAAGCAGAAAAACCAGUUAGAACACUGGUGAUCUGGUUGAAUGGGUGACUGGGUGACUCUGAAGUGAGUGGAUAUUAGACUUACUCUGAUGAUCCCUUCUACAGGUCUUAUUGAUGAAUAGCUCCACAGGUGGGGGUAGUGGGAUUUAGUGGGAGCAAAGAGAUUAUUCCUGGGUUUCUGAAUUAAGCAGCUGGGUGGUGCCUUUUAACAAAAAACAAAACAGGGGAGGAUGGGUGGGAAAAGUGACAAGUUUAGUUCUAAAUCUGUCAAGUUGAAGAACCUGUGAGAGAUCCUGGGAAAGCUGUCAGGUAGGCAGCUAGAUAGCAGAGCCUGGAGUUCAAGAAGCAGAGUGGGGCCACAGGCUCCCCCGAAAGUGGGUGGCCAGUGCAGCCUGGGAGGGCUGGGCUUGAAUGGACAGCAGGGCCCGAGCCUCAAGGAAAUCAGGGGAUUGUAGAGGAGGUGGAGGCAACAAGAAAAUUUCAAAGUAGAGAUCAGAAAGCAACCAAGAAGAGUGAGAAAGGAUGGUGACUUCUAAGUCUAGGGAGGAAUAAAACACAGUGUUAGAUGUUGUUGAAUGGCUAAUCAAAAUAAAGACUUGAUUAUUUCCUUCAGCAUAAUUCCUGGGCAGGGCACGUUGGGGAUACUUCCAGUGAGAUGGGCCAUGAGUUGUUGGCUGUGGAAGCUGGGUGUUGAGCACAUGAGGUUCACUGCACUGUUCUCUCUAUUUAUGUAGAUGUUUGAAACUUCCCAUAACAAAAUUUUUUUUUAUUAUUUUUCCAUAAUAAAAAUGUAGCCUUUGGAUUUAUUAUCACAGAGACCAGUGACCUCUGCACGAAUAGUUUCAUGAAGGCAGAAGCCAGACUGAAUGGAUUAAGCAGUGGAGGCAAGAAAGAGACAGGGUGUAAACAGAGAAGAACAUGGGUUUGGAAGAAGAUUUUUUUUUUUUUUUCUUUUUCAGAGUGGAGAGACUGGAGCUUGGUUAUAUCCUGAUAUGGCUGAGCUGGGGGCAGGGAAAUGUUGAAAAAGGAAGGAGCCUAAGAAGCCUGGUUCUGAGCUCACAAAAGAAGAAUGUCCAGCUUCGUCAGGUUGUUGGAGGUUGGCCAAGGGUGCCAAAGGAAGAAAAAUUGAACAUGAGAGUUUAGCUUAUAAUGCUGCUGGUGAAACAGUUCUCGGAGUUAUGACUUAACAUGCUGUGCUCUUGAAAAAUCACCCUCAAAUACAAACACAAAUAUCCCAUUCUGAAUGCAAAAGGCCGGUUCCUUACCACUAGUGCCACCUGAGAAGCCCCCCACAAGAGGAAACCCUUGCCUGAAUUUGAUGUCACCAUUUCUAGGUGUAUCUUUAUGCUUUUGCUAAAUGUAUAUGCAUCCUUACAUAGAUACUAUUAUUUUUCAUGAGUUGAAGCUUUAUAUAAAUGGUAUCAUAC